UGAUCACAUGUUCGGAAUUUUCAACUUCUGCUCGGUGCCACCUCUCAAACAACAAGUAAAACUUCACUAUUUCAUGUGCAGGAUUAAACGUAUCAAGCUUGCUCUGCGAGAGAUCUACAACAUCUCUAGGUGAGACAUUAGGACCAAGCCCAAAAUGGCCGAUAGCUUGUAUAAUACCAGCAGCACAUGUUUUGCUUGCAUGAAUUAUCUUAGGAUUAUCUUUGGCAUUUUCUG
Molecule: unclassified non-coding RNA, 234 nt
Filed under: Hevea brasiliensis (rubber tree)
Lineage: Eukaryota; Viridiplantae; Streptophyta; Magnoliopsida; Malpighiales; Euphorbiaceae
Source: RNAcentral